RNAcentral lists this ribosomal RNA (1346 nucleotides) under uncultured bacterium. Its description in RNAcentral is "partial 16S ribosomal RNA". It matches the Rfam family "Bacterial small subunit ribosomal RNA", at positions 28 to 1381 of the family's 1533-position model. The record is from RNAcentral.
GACGAACGCUGGCGGCGUGCUUAACACAUGCAAGUCGAACGGAAAGGCCCUGCUUUUGUGGGGUGCUCGAGUGGCGAACGGGUGAGUAACACGUGAGUAACCUGCCCUUGACUUUGGGAUAACUUCAGGAAACUGGGGCUAAUACCGGAUAGGAGCUCCUGCUGCAUGGUGGGGGUUGGAAAGUUUCGGCGGUUGGGGAUGGACUCGCGGCUUAUCAGCUUGUUGGUGGGGUAGUGGCUUACCAAGGCUUUGACGGGUAGCCGGCCUGAGAGGGUGACCGGCCACAUUGGGACUGAGGUACGGCCCAGACUCCUACGGGAGGCAGCAGUGGGGAAUAUUGCACAAUGGGCGGAAGCCUGAUGCAGCAACGCCGCGUGCGGGAUGACGGCCUUCGGGUUGUAAACCGCUUUCGCCUGUGACGAAGCGUGAGUGACGGUAAUGGGUAAAGAAGCACCGGCUAACUACGUGCCAGCAGCCGCGGUGAUACGUAGGGUGCGAGCGUUGUCCGGAUUUAUUGGGCGUAAAGGGCUCGUAGGUGGUUGAUCGCGUCGGAAGUGUAAUCUUGGGGCUUAACCCUGAGCGUGCUUUCGAUACGGGUUGACUUGAGGAAGGUAGGGGAGAAUGGAAUUCCUGGUGGGGCGGUGGAAUGCGCAGAUAUCAGGAGGAACACCAGUGGCGAAGGCGGUUCUCUGGGCCUUUCCUGACGCUGAGGAGCGAAAGCGUGGGGAGCGAACAGGCUUAGAUACCCUGGUAGUCCACGCUGUAAACGGUGGGUACUAGGUGUGGGGUCCAUUCCACGGGUUCCGUGCCGUAGCUAACGCUUUAAGUACCCCGCCUGGGGAGUACGGCCGCAAGGCUAAAACUCAAAGGAAUUGACGGGGCCCCGCACAAGCGGCGGAGCAUGCGGAUUAAUUCGAUGCAACGCGUAGAACCUUACCUGGGUUUGACAUGGAUCGGGAGUGCUCAGAGAUGGGUGUGCCUCUUUUGGGGUCGGUUCACAGGUGGUGCAUGGCUGUCGUCAGCUCGUGUCGUGAGAUGUUGGGUUAAGUCCCGCAACGAGCGCAACCCUUGUUCACUGUUGCCAGCACGUUAUGGUGGGGACUCAGUGGAGACCGCCGGGGUCAACUCGGAGGAAGGUGGGGAUGACGUCAAGUCAUCAUGCCCCUUAUGUCCAGGGCUUCACGCAUGCUACAAUGGCUGGUACAGAGAGUGGCGAGCCUGUGAGGGUGAGCGAAUCUCGGAAAGCCGGUCUCAGUUCGGAUUGGGGUCUGCAACUCGACCUCAUGAAGUCGGAGUCGCUAGUAAUCGCAGAUCAGCAACGCUGCGGUGAAUACGUUCCCGGGGCU